This 225-nucleotide long non-coding RNA is filed under the name Ananas comosus (pineapple). RNAcentral's name for it is "long non-coding RNA (ACOM_LNC004005)". Lineage: Eukaryota; Viridiplantae; Streptophyta; Magnoliopsida; Poales; Bromeliaceae. The record is from RNAcentral.
AGAAAAGGUAGCAUUAAAUUACGAAUUAAAGAUUUUAAUUUUUUUUUUUUUUGAGAAAUUAGUAGUAUGCUAUUCGUUUCGUUUAUUUUAUUUAGAAAUAAAUUUAGCUGAAAAUGUGAAUCAAUUAGGAUUCGAAUUUUUGAGAAAAUAGCACAUAAAUGGUAAAUUCAAAUUUUAAAGAAAAAUAUGUCUCUCGUUUCAAAAUAAAGAGGAAAGAGAACAUUU